AUGCACGCUGGCGGCGUGCCUAACACCUGCAAGUCGAGCGGCAGCGAGGGGUGCUUGCACCCUGUCGGCGAGCGGCGGAUGGCUGAGUAACGCGUGGGAACGUGCCCCAAAGUGAGGAAUAACUGCCCGAAAGGGUAGCUAAUACCGCAUAUUAUCUUCGGAUCAAAGGAUUUAUCCGCUUUGGGAGCGGCUCGCGUCGGAUUAGGUAGUUGGUGAGGUAAUGGCUCACCAAGCCGACGAUCCGUAGCUGGUCUGAGAGGAUGACCAGCCAGACUGGAACUGAGACACGGUCCAGACUCCUACGGGAGGCAGCAGUGAGGAAUCUUCCACAAUGGGCGAAAGCCUGAUGGAGCAACGCCGCGUGCAGGACGAAGGCCUUCGGGUUGUAAACUGCUUUUAUAAGUGAGGAAUAUGACGGUAACUUAUGAAUAAGGAUCGGCUAACUACGUG
This 450-nucleotide ribosomal RNA is filed under the name uncultured bacterium. RNAcentral's name for it is "partial 16S ribosomal RNA". It matches the Rfam family "Bacterial small subunit ribosomal RNA", at positions 29 to 507 of the family's 1533-position model. The record is from RNAcentral.